RNAcentral lists this ribosomal RNA (488 nucleotides) under uncultured Gammaproteobacteria bacterium. RNAcentral's name for it is "bacterial SSU rRNA". It matches the Rfam family "Bacterial small subunit ribosomal RNA", at positions 30 to 505 of the family's 1533-position model. The record is from RNAcentral. Lineage: Bacteria; Pseudomonadati; Pseudomonadota; Gammaproteobacteria.
AUUGAACGCUGGCGGUAUGCUUUAGACAUGCAAGUCGAACGGUAACGAUAACUAGCUUGCUAGUUAGGCGACGAGUGGCGGACGGGUGAGUACAAAUUAGGAAUCUAUCCAGUAGCUGGGGAUAACGUGUGGAAACGCACGCUAAUACCGAAUACGCACUACGGUGGAAAGAGGGGGAAUCUUCGGAUCCUCUCACUAUUGGGUGAGCCUAAUCCGGAUUAGCUAGUUGGUGGGGUAAUGGCCUACCAAGGCAACGAUCCGUAGCUGUUCUGAGAGGAAGAUCAGCCACACUGGGACUGAGACACGGCCCAGACUCCUACGGGAGGCAGCAGUCGGGAAUAUUGGACAAUGGGGGCAACCCUGAUCCAGCAAUACCGCGUGUGAAGAAGGCCUGCGGGUUGUAAAGCACUUUCAAUAGGGAAGAAAUGCUGAAGGUUAAUAACCUUCGGUCUUGACGUUACCUAUACAAGAAGCACCGGCUAACUCCG